Molecule: ribosomal RNA, 830 nt
Filed under: Bacteroides sp. HGA0127
Lineage: Bacteria; Pseudomonadati; Bacteroidota; Bacteroidia; Bacteroidales; Bacteroidaceae
Description: bacterial SSU rRNA
Rfam family: Bacterial small subunit ribosomal RNA
Source: RNAcentral
AGUCGAGGGGCAGCAUGGUCUUAGCUUGCUAAGGCCGAUGGCGACCGGCGCACGGGUGAGUAACACGUAUCCAACCUGCCGUCUACUCUUGGACAGCCUUCUGAAAGGAAGAUUAAUACAAGAUGGCAUCAUGAGUCCGCAUGUUCACAUGAUUAAAGGUAUUCCGGUAGACGAUGGGGAUGCGUUCCAUUAGAUAGUAGGCGGGGUAACGGCCCACCUAGUCUUCGAUGGAUAGGGGUUCUGAGAGGAAGGUCCCCCACAUUGGAACUGAGACACGGUCCAAACUCCUACGGGAGGCAGCAGUGAGGAAUAUUGGUCAAUGGGCGAGAGCCUGAACCAGCCAAGUAGCGUGAAGGAUGACUGCCCUAUGGGUUGUAAACUUCUUUUAUAAAGGAAUAAAGUCGGGUAUGCAUACCCGUUUGCAUGUACUUUAUGAAUAAGGAUCGGCUAACUCCGUGCCAGCAGCCGCGGUAAUACGGAGGAUCCGAGCGUUAUCCGGAUUUAUUGGGUUUAAAGGGAGCGUAGAUGGAUGUUUAAGUCAGUUGUGAAAGUUUGCGGCUCAACCGUAAAAUUGCAGUUGAUACUGGAUAUCUUGAGUGCAGUUGAGGCAGGCGGAAUUCGUGGUGUAGCGGUGAAAUGCUUAGAUAUCACGAAGAACUCCGAUUGCGAAGGCAGCCUGCUAAGCUGCAACUGACAUUGAGGCUCGAAAGUGUGGGUAUCAAACAGGAUUAGAUACCCUGGUAGUCCACACGGUAAACGAUGAAUACUCGCUGUUUGCGAUAUACUGCAAGCGGCCAAGCGAAAGCGUUAAGUAUUCCACCUGGGGAGUA